CAGUUGACCUGGGUAAACUCAACACUGAGAAAUACAGUAACAGUUGACCUGGGUAAACUCAACACUGAGAAAUACAGUAACAGUUGACCUGGAUAAACUCAACACUGAGAAAUACAGUAACAGUUGACCUGGGUAAACUCAACACUGAGAAAUACAGUAACAGUUGACCUGGAUAAACUCAACACUGAGAAAUACAGUAACAGUUGAUUGUCUUGAUCAAGGGUGCAUAAACUCAGGCCCUCGACGUCCACAGUCCUGCUAGGUUAGUGUUUCUCCCUGGUUCUUAUGAUCAACUAAUGAUUGGCUGACGUGUGCACACACCUCGUUUCCCAGCGACAAAUCAAUCUCUGGUAACAAGGCAAGGAUGAAAAAACUGUCCUUUUCACACUACAGAGUCGAUCUAAGCCAAGCUGAACUGGCCUGCAAAGGACAAGGUGAUAAGAAUGGUUAGAUGGUUAGGAUCAGAACAACAGUGUGACUAGGUUAAAGGAGUAGAACCAGAACAGUAUGGUUAUGAUCAGAAUGGCAGUGUGAUUAGGUUAAAGGAGUAGAACCAGACCAGUAUGGUUAGGAUCAGAACGACAGUGUGACUAGGUUAAAGGAGUAGAACCAGAACAGUAUGGUUAUGAUCAGAAUGGCAGUGUGAUUAGGUUAAAGGAGUAGAACCAGACCAGUAUGGUUAGGAUCAGAACGACAGUGUGACUAGGUUAAAGGAGUAGAACCAGAACAGUAUGGUUAGGAUCAGAACGACAGUGUGAUUAGGUUAAAGGAGUAGAACCAGAACAGUAUGGUUAGGAUCAGAACGACAGUGUGAUUAGGUUAAAGGAGUAGAACCAGAACAGUAUGGUUAGGAUCAGAACGAGUGUGAUUAGGUUAAAGGAGUAGAACCAGAACAGUAUGGUUAUGAUCAGAAUGGCAGUGUGAUUAGGUUAAAGGAGUAGAACCAGACCAGUAUGGUUAGGAUCAGAACGACAGUGUGACUAGGUUAAAGGAGUAGAACCAGAACAGUAUGGUUAGGAUCAGAACGAGUGUGAUUAGGUUAAAGGAGUAGAACCAGAACAGUAUGGUUAUGAUCAAAUUCAGCUCCUUACGUUCUUGAACUAAGUUUAGCACCCUAAUAAAAAAACUACAUAUCAGAAUAUAUCAAAUAUAUAUUUUGUGUCUCUCUGGAUCAGAGCCUCUACUUGUCUUACAAGAGUAUUACUAUGCAAUAUACAAGCUGGACUUUAAAGUCUUUCGCUUCCCUCAAUACUCCUCACCUUCAGAAGUGUCUUUGGAGCAGAAUCAAGUCAAACUACAAGAAACCCAAGAAUUACAAGUCAUACUUAUAAUUGACCUGUAAGCAGCUAGUUGAAACUGUCAUCACAGUUCAAGGAACAGGAUCCUGGGUGUGUUAAUACAGCACUUGAACCAUAAGGCACUUCUUACAGUACUUAUCAGUAUAAUGAUAGGUCACCUAUAAUAAGGCACUUCUUACAGUACUUAUCAGUAUAAUGAUAGGUCACCU
Long non-coding RNA from Oncorhynchus tshawytscha (Chinook salmon), 1507 nucleotides. NCBI's taxonomy places the organism in Eukaryota, Metazoa, Chordata, Actinopteri, Salmoniformes, Salmonidae. The record is from Ensembl.